CGAGGAGGAAGGCAGCGACAGGAACGGUGUAGAUGUGGUGGCCGGGCUUGGGGAGGAUGCGAACGUCGAAGAAGGCUGCGUCCUUGUUAGUCCUCGACGGCACGGCGGAUGACGGAAACGGCGGCGACGGAGGUCGAUGGUGACGAGGUUUUGUUGGCGCAGACCGGCUGUUCCCUUGGCUUACGGUGGUCUGGCUGGACGUGGUGACGCGGCUUUCGGGGUCGAGGGCGUCACUGGACAGCGACGAGCGGAGCCCCGGGCGCGGCGUCGGCAUGGGUUCGGGGACGGCGCGGCCAACGGCGUCAAAAGAUCACGAAACCUUGUCACAAAGGUAGGAGAUGGUUACGUGAGUGCACCGGUGAAAGGAAUCGACGAACCGAGCUUUGGAGCGACCUCACCUUCGAGAACGAAAGCGACGAACGACGGAGGAAGAAGGCCACGGCAUGCGAUCUACGAAGCUCUAUAGGAAAAACUCUCCAUAGGAAAACGGGGGAGGAUGGCCAAAGGUUCGAAGUGACGCGCUCGGAAUCGUCCUUUAUAGGCCGAGGAGGGAGAUCGGGCAUGGAUGUCGACGGCCGACAUUCGGGGCACCUAUUUUGGAAACUGCGAUAAUUAGAGGAAACUUCAAAUUGAUUUCCUGAAUGGAUUCCCGGGAUGGUGAGGAUUGAUGGGGUGGUUUCCUUUUGGAGAGAGACGUGCGGAAAGGAAAGAAAUUGAAGAAAGAAAAUAUGGAAAGAAAGGAUUUCUUACGUGCAGAGGAGGAGGAAGCACGAGCUCGUGCUCCUGGCUGGCUGGGGCGUUCGGUGGAGAUGGGCCGGCCCAGUUGGGUCGGUCCAUUCUUUUUUUUUUCUUUUUUUUUUCCAUUUCUUUUUUUUUAUUAAUAACUUUUGAUUCCUAACUCCAAAUAAGUCCAAAUAAAUUCCAGAAAAUUUAUAAAUUCAAAUUCUCCAAAGUGUGAGCUUUUGGGACUUGAAUCCUUUCAAAAAUAAAAUAAGUAAAAAUACUUUUGCUUAUAUAAAUGUCAUUAGAGCUUUAUAAGUAAUACGUAAAAUAGGUUUUGAAAUCUAUUAUGAAACCUUUGUUUCAUAAAUUAGUUUAAACUCCAAUAAACAUAUUGGGUUGGCAUAUUUUGCACUAAAAUCCUUCUUUAGCUAAAUACCCCAUUGGGUUGAACUCGAAAGAAGAUCUCAUAAUAAUUAUACGGUUCAAUAAAAUUCCCUAAUAGCUUAUAACACCAAAUCUCAAAUCAUUUAAACCAUCGCAGAUGUUUCCAACUAUAUAUAUAUUUGGGAAGUCACGUUAUCCCACUCUCAACGACGGAAUAAAUGUUGGAAUAACAUUUGCACAUGAGAAUGUCACGUUAUCCUCUUCUCGAAUAUUUGAUAGUUUCUUCUCGAAAACAAAAUGAACACGCCAAAGCAAAUAUCGAGAGAAACAUAGGUGAAUCAUUAUAUAUGUUUUCCAAUCAUAUACUUGGGAAAGUCACAUUAUUCCCUCUCUUUAUCAUUUAGAUAAAUGUUGGAGAACAUUCCUAAUUCGAUUUAAAUAUUCCAAUGAUGCUCUCAAAUGGUCAUGGCAUCCAAAUUGGAAUCUUAGUGUGUUAAUAAAUCCUUCAGAAAGAAAAUAGGAUUUACUAGAUGCGAAUAAUAGUUCGGCUAGAAUCAUAAUAUGCAAAUGAUUCCAAAUAGAAUACUUUGUACUUAUGUAAAUGUCCCAAC
Molecule: long non-coding RNA, 1718 nt
Filed under: Brachypodium distachyon (stiff brome)
Lineage: Eukaryota; Viridiplantae; Streptophyta; Magnoliopsida; Poales; Poaceae
Description: long non-coding RNA (BDIS_LNC001026)
Source: RNAcentral